AAUAGUUCUAUAACAAAACAAUUCGCCAGAGAACUACUAGCAACAGCUUAAAACUCAAAGGACUUGGCGGUGCUUUAUAUCCCUCUAGAGGAGCCUGUUCUAUAAUCGAUAAACCCCGAUAAACCUCACCAUCCCUUGCUAAUACAGUCUAUAUACCGCCAUCUUCAGCAAACAAUUGGAGU
Molecule: ribosomal RNA, 182 nt
Filed under: Vulpes vulpes (red fox)
Lineage: Eukaryota; Metazoa; Chordata; Mammalia; Carnivora; Canidae
Description: partial small subunit ribosomal RNA
Source: RNAcentral